CCGGUUGAUCCCGCCGGAGGUCACUGCUCUCAGUGUUCGACUAAGCCAUGCAAGUCAAAUGUUCUUCGUGAACAUGGCGAACUGCUCAGUAACACGUGGAUAACCUGCCCUUAGGACCGGCAUAACCCUGGGAAACUGGGGAUAAUUCCGGAUAACCCAUGAAUGCUGGAAUGCUUCGUGGGUAAAAUGGUUUCGACCGCCAAAGGAUGGAUCUGCGGCCUAUCAGGUAGUAGUGGGUGUAGUGUACCUACUAGCCUACGACGGGUACGGGUUGUGAGAGCAAGAGCCCGGAGAUGGAUUCUGAGACAUGAAUCCAGGCCCUACGGGGCGCAGCAGGCGCGAAAACUUUACAAUGCGGGAAACCGCGAUAAGGGGACACUGAGUGCCAGCAUCUUAUGUUGGCUGUCCGCAUGUUUAAAAAGCAUGUGUUAGCAAGGGCUGGGCAAGACCGGUGCCAGCCGCCGCGGUAACACCGGCAGCCCGAGUGGUGAUCACUAUUAUUGGGUCUAAAGGGUCCGUAGCCGGUUUGAUCAGUCUUUUGGGAAAUCUGACAGCUUAACUGUUAGGCUUCCAAAGGAUACUGUCAGACUUGGGACCGGGAGAGGUAAGAGGUACUACAGGGGUAGGAGUGAAAUCUUGUAAUCCCUGUGGGACCACCAGUGGCGAAGGCGUCUUACCAGAACGGGUCCGACGGUGAGGGACGAAAGCUGGGGGCACGAACCGGAUUAGAUACCCGGGUAGUCCCAGCCGUAAACGAUGCUCGCUAGGUGUCAGGAAUGGUGCGACCGUUUCUGGUGCCGUAGGGAAGCCGUGAAGCGAGCCACCUGGGAAGUACGGCCGCAAGGCUGAAACUUAAAGGAAUUGGCGGGGGAGCACUACAACGGGUGGAGCCUGCGGUUUAAUUGGAUUCAACGCCGGAAAU
RNAcentral lists this ribosomal RNA (922 nucleotides) under uncultured archaeon. Its description in RNAcentral is "bacterial SSU rRNA". It matches the Rfam family "Archaeal small subunit ribosomal RNA", at positions 4 to 925 of the family's 1478-position model. The record is from RNAcentral.